This 402-nucleotide ribosomal RNA is filed under the name uncultured bacterium. RNAcentral describes it as "bacterial SSU rRNA". It matches the Rfam family "Bacterial small subunit ribosomal RNA", at positions 355 to 774 of the family's 1533-position model. The record is from RNAcentral.
UGGGGAAUUUUGCGCAAUGGGCGAAAGCCUGACGCAGCAAUACCGCGUGAGUGAAGAAGGCCUUUGGGUCGUAAAGCUCUUUUCUAGGGGAAGAUAGUGACGGUACCCUAGGAAUAAGCACCGGCUAACUCCGUGCCAGCAGCCGCGGUAAUACGGAGGGUGCAAGCGUUGUUCGGAUUUACUGGGCGUAAAGGGCACGUAGGCGGCAUAGCAAGUUAAGGGUGAAAUCCCGGGGCUCAACUCCGGAACUGCUCUUAAAACUGCUAAGCUAGAGAUAGUCAGAGGCGGGUGGAAUUCCAGGUGUAGAGGUGAAAUUCGUAGAUAUCUGGAGGAACACCGGUGGCGAAGGCGGCCCGCUGGGGCUUAUCUGACGCUGAGGUGCGAAAGCGUGGGGAGCGAACG